GCCUCCUUGUAAGCGGUUUGAGUAUGUACCUUUUUUCCGAGUAAAGUAUUUUAUUUUACACUUCACAUCUGUCUCUGGUUUCGUGCAUUUGAGUCCUCCUUCCCUGUGUCUGAGGUCGUUACACAAAAAUGGUUAUAGAAGGAGACGUAGGAUGGGAAUCAUGUGAGGCAAGUUGGAAGAUAGCUCAGCUACAGAAUCGUUUACUUGAUAUGGAUGAAAGUGUGUGUCGCCACCCUUCGCGAAGUACAGUGGAGGAGGGAAUGCGCAAAGCAACAAACCAUUUUUUGUAUUUAUCUACAAACAAUUUCGUGACUCACCUGGGUGUCGUGGACCCCCUGUUGAAGACCUAUGCUCUAGAACAGGGGUGGGGAACCUUUUUCCUAUCAAGGGCCAUUUUAUUUUUUACAACAUCCUUCAAGGGCCGUACUAAUUAUUGAAGUCAUAACCUCUGCAAAAACAUUUAAGACGCAGCCCACUUUCACUUUAUGCUGUGCAAAAAAGCAACUUUUUUAAUCCAUGUAUCUUUCUGUUUUAUUAUAAAUCAGCAAUCUUUUAUUAGUCCCACAACGGGGAAAUGUAUCUUGUCACAGUAAAAGAACAUAUGAAGUAAAAAGGCAGUACACAAUAAUUAAAUAGAAUAAAAAAUAAUGUAAGUACCAAGUGGUUGAUAGAAAACAAAGUGAACAUUGCACGUGGCAGUGAUAAUUGCACAAAUUAUAAGAAGUGAGUAUUGUAAAUGGCAGUGAUAAUUGCACAGCAGUGGUGGAAUAGUCUGAACUUGGUGUGGUGGUCUAUCUAUCUAUCUUUCUAUGUUUGUAUGUUACGCAUACCUGUCAACAUUGAAAUUUCAAAAUAAGGGACAUUUUUGGCGGACUCCGCCCAUAUUUUAAUAGCUCUCAGCCACCGAGCCCCUACCCAUGUAAUGUAAAUGUAAACACAUAAGGGACGGGUAUAUACAUUCAGGAAAUACAUGUUUAUUUAAAGUAUGUCUUACUUGUACAGACAUGUUUAUAAAAUGUAUGUAUUAUAUUUAUUAGUUAAUAUCAAUUUAUUUGAUGAUUGAUGAGUUGUGUGGCUUUUGUUUCCCUCGACGAGGACUUCCUUGCGAUGGCAGAGUCUGGAAACAUGUCCGCUACACUGCGACUGAAAUCACCGCAGAAGCUGAAGGCUACAUUAUUUUUGGCACAAAGCAUCAACA
This 1198-nucleotide long non-coding RNA is filed under the name Cottoperca gobio. Its description in RNAcentral is "lncRNA (ENSCGOG00000013201.1)". The record is from RNAcentral. Lineage: Eukaryota; Metazoa; Chordata; Actinopteri; Perciformes; Bovichtidae.